UACGGGGGGGGCAAGCGUUGUUCGGAAUUACUGGGCGUAAAGGGCUCGUAGGCGGCCAACUAAGUCAGACGUGAAAUCCCUCGGCUUAACCGGGGAACUGCGUCUGAUACUGGUUGGCUUGAAUCCGGGAGAGGGAUGUGGAAUUCCAGGUGUAGCGGUGAAAUGCGUAGAUAUCUGGAGGAACACCGGUGGCGAAGGCGGCAUCCUGGACCGGUAUUGACGCUGAGGUGCGAAAGCGUGGGGAGCAAACAGG
This 253-nucleotide ribosomal RNA is filed under the name uncultured bacterium. RNAcentral's name for it is "partial 16S ribosomal RNA". It matches the Rfam family "Bacterial small subunit ribosomal RNA", at positions 524 to 776 of the family's 1533-position model. The record is from RNAcentral.